This 164-nucleotide ribosomal RNA is filed under the name Centaurea caballeroi. RNAcentral describes it as "5.8S ribosomal RNA". It matches the Rfam family "5.8S ribosomal RNA". From Rfam's summary of the family: 5.8S ribosomal RNA (5.8S rRNA) is a component of the large subunit of the eukaryotic ribosome. It is transcribed by RNA polymerase I as part of the 45S precursor that also contains 18S and 28S rRNA. Functionally, it is thought that 5.8S rRNA may be involved in ribosome translocation. The record is from RNAcentral. Lineage: Eukaryota; Viridiplantae; Streptophyta; Magnoliopsida; Asterales; Asteraceae.
UAAAYGACUCUCGGCAACGGAUAUCUUGGCUCACGCAUCGAUGAAGAACGUAGCAAAAUGCGAUACUUGGUGUGAAUUGCAGAAUCCCGUGAACCAUCGAGUUUUUGAACGCAAGUUGCGCCCRAAGCCAUUCGGCCGAGGGCACGUCUGCCUGGGCGUCACGC